CUGAGUUAGGGUCUCGCUAGGCCCGACCUCCCAACCCUUGUGUCUACCUAACCUAUCGUUGCUUCGGUGGGACGGAUCUGGCCCCUCCCGGGGACGGACCCGCCGGAGGGGUGAACAGCCACCCCUUGGGAGCGUUUCCCACCGAUGGCCCACAUCAAACUCUUGUACCAAAAACCUGUCGUCUAAAGUAUUGAUAUAUGAAUCAAAAACA
Molecule: unclassified non-coding RNA, 211 nt
Filed under: uncultured Ascomycota
Lineage: Eukaryota; Fungi; Ascomycota
Description: sequence contains ITS1
Source: RNAcentral